RNAcentral lists this ribosomal RNA (397 nucleotides) under uncultured bacterium. Its description in RNAcentral is "partial 16S ribosomal RNA". It matches the Rfam family "Bacterial small subunit ribosomal RNA", at positions 523 to 918 of the family's 1533-position model. The record is from RNAcentral.
AUACGUAGGGGGCGAGCGUUGUCCGGAAUGACUGGGCGUAAAGGGCGUGUAGGCGGCUCUGUAAGUCUGGAGUGAAAGUCCCGCUUUCAAGGUGGGAAUUGCUUUGGAUACUGUGGAGCUUGAGUGCGGAAGAGGUAAGUGGAAUUCCCAGUGUAGCGGUGAAAUGCGUAGAGAUUGGGAGGAACACCAGUGGCGAAGGCGACUUACUGGGCCGUAACUGACGCUGAGGCGCGAAAGCGUGGGGAGCGAACAGGAUUAGAUACCCUGGUAGUCCACGCGGUAAACGAUGAAUGCUAGGUGUUGCGGGUAUCGACCCCUGCAGUGCCGGAGUCAACACAAUAAGCAUUCCGCCUGGGGAGUACGGCCGCAAGGUUGAAACUCAAAGGAAUUGACGGGG